Molecule: ribosomal RNA, 532 nt
Filed under: uncultured Cryobacterium sp.
Lineage: Bacteria; Bacillati; Actinomycetota; Actinomycetes; Micrococcales; Microbacteriaceae
Description: bacterial SSU rRNA
Rfam family: Bacterial small subunit ribosomal RNA
Source: RNAcentral
UACGGGAGGCAGCAGUGGGGAAUAUUGCACAAUGGGCGCAAGCCUGAUGCAGCAACGCCGCGUGAGGGACGAAGGCCUUCGGGUUGUAAACCUCUUUUAGUAGGGAAGAAGCGACUGGGUUUUCCUGGGAGUGACGGUACCUGCAGAAAAAGCACCGGCUAACUACGUGCCAGCAGCCGCGGUAAUACGUAGGGUGCAAGCGUUGUCCGGAAUUAUUGGGCGUAAAGAGCUCGUAGGCGGUUUGUCGCGUCUGCUGUGAAAACCCGAGGCUCAACCUCGGGCCUGCAGUGGGUACGGGCAGACUAGAGUGCGGUAGGGGAGAUUGGAAUUCCUGGUGUAGCGGUGGAAUGCGCAGAUAUCAGGAGGAACACCAAUGGCGAAGGCAGAUCUCUGGGCCGUAACUGACGCUGAGGAGCGAAAGCAUGGGGAGCGAACAGGAUUAGAUACCCUGGUAGUCCAUGCCGUAAACGUUGGGAACUAGAUGUGGGGACCAUUCCACGGUCUCCGUGUCGCAGCUAACGCAAUCCAUAUG